RNAcentral lists this ribosomal RNA (425 nucleotides) under uncultured bacterium. RNAcentral's name for it is "bacterial SSU rRNA". It matches the Rfam family "Bacterial small subunit ribosomal RNA", at positions 356 to 773 of the family's 1533-position model. The record is from RNAcentral.
GGGGAAUAUUGGACAAUGGGGGAAACCCUGAUCCAGCCAUGCCGCGUGUGCGAUGAAGGCUUUCGGGUUGUAAAGCACUUUCAGUCGGGAGGAAAGGGUGCAGGCUAAUACCCUGUGCAGUUGACGUUACCGACAGAAGAAGCACCGGCAAACUCCGUGCCAGCAGCCGCGGUAAUACGGAGGGUGCGAGCGUUAAUCGGAAUUACUGGGCGUAAAGCGCGCGUAGGCGGUUACUUAAGCGAGAUGUGAAAUCCCCGGGCUUAACCUGGGCACUGCAUUUCGAACUGGGUGACUAGAGUUUUGGAGAGGAGAGUGGAAUUCCCGGUGUAGCGGUGAAAUGCGUAGAGAUCGGGAGGAACAUCAGUGGCGAAGGCGGCUCUCUGGCCAAAAACUGACGCUGAGGCGCGAAAGCGUGGGGAUCAAAC